Molecule: small RNA, 511 nt
Filed under: Drosophila pseudoobscura pseudoobscura
Lineage: Eukaryota; Metazoa; Arthropoda; Insecta; Diptera; Drosophilidae
Description: GA32563
Source: RNAcentral
AACAGCACCUGCGAAGUAAUUCUACAUGAGUUUUACAUGAACUGGACAAGGUGUGUUCUAACGACCCAGAGUGAGGAUUCUUCUGAGACUGCAUCGCGGAGCUGACAUGCCAAAUGAUGUGUAGUCCUGGGCCUGAGAUAGAGGCGGCACCUCAGCAUAUCUUUGAUACUUAAGGACUCCAUCAAAUCAGGGAUAUUUUUCUGAUCACAGGAAGCCAAUGCACGCCCUUAACGACCCACAAAUAGUCGAUAAACUUAAAUAUGUAUGGCUGGGGAUGUAGCAGUCCUUAGUCGAGGAUCAAGGAUAUUUUUCCCCCUUAAACAUACCUACUUUCCUCCGACAUUUCCUGUCCGAUCAGCGCUUGUAACAAGGACUAUCAGUAUAUUUCUAUUAUAGCUAUAGCUCCGCCAUCUUCCGAUCUGAAGAAUGUACCUGAUAGUUUGAACCCUGAUUGGCUUAAAGUAUAAUAGGGAUAUUGCCUUUUUAGUGUUAGACUUAAACCGAUUUUUAA